GCCUACGGGGCGCAGCAGUGAGGAAUUUUCGUCAAUGGGCGCAAGCCUGAACGAGCAAUGCCGCGUGAACGAGGAAGGUCUUCGGAUCGUAGAGUUCUGUUGAAGGGGAAAAAGAGCGGAGAGAGGAAAUGGUCUCCGAUUGAUAUUACCCUUCGAGGAAGUCACGGCUAACUACGUGCCAGCAGCCGCGGUAAUACGUAGGUGGCGAGCGUUAUCCGGAAUGAUUGGGCGUAAAGGGUGCGUAGGCGGCCUGCUAAGUCUGGAGUGAAAGGUACCGGCUCAACCGGUACAGGCUCUGGAAACUG
Molecule: ribosomal RNA, 305 nt
Filed under: uncultured bacterium
Lineage: Bacteria
Description: bacterial SSU rRNA
Rfam family: Bacterial small subunit ribosomal RNA
Source: RNAcentral